GUGUUUGCCUCAGCAGCACAAAUACUACACUAGGGACAGUACAGAGAAAAUGAAUGUGACCCCGAACCAAAGAAGACAUACAGAUUUGUGAAGCAUUACUGUUUGUU
Molecule: small nuclear RNA, 107 nt
Organism: Ursus americanus (American black bear)
Lineage: Eukaryota; Metazoa; Chordata; Mammalia; Carnivora; Ursidae
Source: Ensembl